This 68-nucleotide small RNA is filed under the name Pluralibacter gergoviae. Its description in RNAcentral is "partial RtT sRNA". It matches the Rfam family "RtT RNA", at positions 64 to 130 of the family's 130-position model. Rfam says of the family: This family represents a bacterial cis-regulatory element known as RtT RNA. Lineage: Bacteria; Pseudomonadati; Pseudomonadota; Gammaproteobacteria; Enterobacterales; Enterobacteriaceae. The record is from RNAcentral.
AGCGUUGCCGCAGGCAACGACCCGAAGGGCGAGGAGCGCAGCGACGAGUAAUCCUUCCCCCACCACCA